CUUAUGCCGGCGACCGGCGGACGGGUGCGUAACGCGUAUGUAACCUACCUUUGACAGGGGAUAACAUCGAGAAAUUGGUACUAAUACCCCAUAACAUCACCGGAGGCAUCUUCGGUGGUUGAAAACUCAGGUGGUCAGAGAUGGACAUGCGUUGUAUUAGCUAGUUGGUGAGGUAACGGCUCACCAAGGCGACGAUACAUAGGGGGACUGAGAGGUCAACCCCCCACAUUGGUACUGAGACACGGACCAAACUCCUACGGGAGGCAGCAG
This 270-nucleotide ribosomal RNA is filed under the name uncultured bacterium. RNAcentral describes it as "partial 16S ribosomal RNA". It matches the Rfam family "Bacterial small subunit ribosomal RNA", at positions 78 to 354 of the family's 1533-position model. The record is from RNAcentral.